UAGUAUUUAUUGCUCUUUAAAAUUUCGAAAGAUUGAAUGAUUGAAUCUAAAUAAUUUAUAAUUAAUGUGCAAAUUUGUCUGAACUAUAAACUAUUUUUUAUUAGAUACCAAACCUUUAAAAAAUUUUAAGUCGGACAACGAUACUUUGACUACAAAAUUUAACCUAACUAUUUAUUUUAAUAAAUUUAUAAUUGUGAAAAUUACAUAAAGUAUACUAAUGUCUAAUUAAAUUGUGAAAAUAAACAGCAAAUCUAAUUUUUGAAGUCAAAAUAUCACCAACCAACUCAAAUUAAAUAAUUAAAAGAUUAAAUAAUAAAAUUAUAGUUUUAAAAAUUUAAAUAACUAAUUUAAAAUGAUGUAUCGUU
This 365-nucleotide long non-coding RNA is filed under the name Ananas comosus (pineapple). Its description in RNAcentral is "long non-coding RNA (ACOM_LNC010767)". Lineage: Eukaryota; Viridiplantae; Streptophyta; Magnoliopsida; Poales; Bromeliaceae. The record is from RNAcentral.